CGGCGCCCCGGCUCACGGCGGGCGGCGGCCGCGGGGCCCGGCGGCCAGCGGGGAUCGGCGCCUCCGUGCGCUGCAGCAGAGCCCGCCGCCGUCAGGCCCUGGCGCGGAAAUGCUAACAAUGCGGAGAGUAACAGCAGCGGCUGAAAAUCUGCCAAGCCCGACCUUUCCAGAUCCUGCCUUCAGAGUGACUGUCUGGGCUGAGAUGCGGGCAGGUUUCUUUGCUGGAUCUCCGGCCGGAGAUUCCUAGAUGCCCUGGAGGGGCGAUAGGAACGGCCCCUUUCACAUCGCCUCUGCGCCCUGCAGUCCCUUGGCCUUGACCAAUCUGCUCCGCAAAAUAUUGUUACAACGAACCAUUAGCUAAAACAACUUUAGAUUAAAAUAGCUGUAAGGGAGCCAGUGCGAUUGAACAGAUAACUGGUGACCUUAGGACCGAGGAGGUGUGGCAUCUAUUCACAGCUUUGUUUCUGAUCUGAGUGGUUAGUGGGAAGUGAAUCUCUUUGCUAAUCCCUGUUGAAGCUUUUGCAUUUCUAACAGGGAGUUAAUGAUAAUUUUUUUUUUCUUUUAACGCAUAUUAAUAACCACAGACUGGGGUACAUUUACUGUGUGUCAUUUUAUUAGUCUGAUUAGUCGUUUUAGUGCCCAUUACUGAAUUUGGAUAAUGAGGGAAAAGGAGUUCUCUGUUGUUUAUGCAUCACGAUUCAUGUGACUUCAUGACUUUGAAGUGGACUGUACUGGCUGGUUUCUUGCUAUCUAAUUUUCAGUGAUAAAGCCUGGUAUGCCCCAGAUUUUCUUGAUCAUAUGUUUAUUGUAGUCAAACAGCAUUCUGACAUAAGUUUUCUCCUUAGAGGUCCCUUAGGAAGUGAGAAUCAUCCUGUGUUCACACCAGGAAUAAGUUCUGCUGGAUGCAUAUUCGUCCAGUGUUACAAGAAAGGUCACAGGACUGUUUUGCAAACAUGUAACUGCUAUUAAGUGUAGGCAAAAUACCUGCCUGUCUUGAAACCUGAGACAUACAACAGGAAGUUGGAUACAGCCACUUCUAGGGGAGGGAUGUGACUGAACAGCAGAGGCAAAGACAGCAGUAGUUACCAGAAGAGUUUUAAUUAGCCAACAUAUAUGUAGUGUUUGAAAUAUGAAAACAAUUAACAAUUUAAGUAGAGUUAUUAUUAUCAGCAACACCUCUCUUCCUGAGAAGCCAUCUCUGCAAAGUGCUUUUGCAAGUCAGAGCAGUCCCAUGGUGUGUGAGCACUUUCAAAGAAUGACAUAAGGGAUAAAAAUCCUGCUGAAAACAUCUGGUGCUGGAUUUUAUUAGGUUUCUUGAGCAAGGAAACGACUAUGUAUGUAUUUUACACAUGCAAACCUCCAGGUCUUGUGUCCCUGAUUGCUGCUAGCUUUCGAACAUCAUCAGCUUGCCUGACUUUUUAGUUCCAUGGUGCCAGCCCAACCCCUGUGCUUUCCUCUCUAGCAGACACAGCUGGACUGCACCAUGUUUGUCAGCAACUUGGGCUGCAGCUUCAGGUACUUGUUCUUCUCUAAAAAGGCUUUGUUCUGCUGCAGAAUUGCCCUGGCCCACUCCUGCAAAGGGCAAAGGCACACCUGCCACACAGACUGCUGGGAAGAGGAGCUGCUUUAAUUUUCCCACUUGCAUUCCCAGAAGAAAAAUUUCACCUCCUUCAAGCCAGCCUGGGGGGGUUGCAGUCUAAGCUGAGCCUUGAAGCCUGCUGCCUCAUCAGGACAUUUCUGUUUGGUACCAUCUCUGUUAUCUUAAGUUUCUUCCCUGGCCAAGAAAAUAAUGGUGAAAAUCUGCAUCUCUGGUUCAGGGUGUCCAAGGCAUGUUAGCCUGUGUGGAGACACUUUGCCUGUCUGGAAGUGAGGGAGAUGCUGAUCUCUGAGUAGGUUUUGGAGAUACUAUUGCAAUGCAAAAAAUAAUCACCAAUAAUUCUCUUAUGGGUCAGCAGUUUCCAUUUCAGGGAGAAGAGAACAGUGAUCAGAGUUUAAAUACAUGGUUUGAAAAAAUGACAGAGCUCAUUAUCCCUCUGCCUGACCCCAUGGCUGUAUGUGCCUUCCCUCUUGCUUUCCCAGCUAGAUUGUAUCCGUUUGCUCUUCUGCCUCCAUCAUAAGCUUCAUCUUUCAUUUCUCAGUUAUGUGUUUUUCCUGUGUUUGCAUAUAAGCAUGUCUUGUUAAGGAUCUUAGAGAUAAUCUGCAAACCUGAUUAAGUCUCAACAAAUAGUCCUAGCAGCUGACUUGCUUUAUCACCUGAGGUCUGAAAAUGCGCAAUGUGUGGAAGUCUCCUGCUACCAACGCUUCGUAGGUUUCUCUGUAUAUGUAACCUCCAGUCAAAAGCCCUAGAAUUAAAUAAUAACCUUUCUGUUGCUACCCAUGGCUUUAGAAAUAGCCUCUAGCUGUGAUGCAGUGACAAAUACCACGUAAAGAAUGCUAGUAAAUAGGCAUGAAGUGUGUUCUACCAUAUUAGAUAACAUGACCACAUUCAUCCUCUGCUAAUACUGCCAAUUCACAGCUUUGCUAAUGCAGCCUCCCUCUCACUUUUGCUUUGGGCAAUUUAAGAGGCUUUUUGGUUACACUUCACCCUUAUUUUCUUCCUUUUCACCCUUUUUUUUGUUUGUUUGUUUAUUCAUUACUAUAAAAAUCGUGGUCUGCAGCAGAGGCUGGGCAGGACCUCCUGUCCCCCAGCUUUCCUAAUAUUUAGUUCACUAAGAAGCCAAGCUGGUCUGGAAACCAAUUGGAGAGAGAGGUCAAUAGACAUGGCUUUAGUGAAAAGCAGAUAGAUACCCAAGUCCUUCCUUCUCUCUGAGGCCAAUGCUGCACUCUCUGAACCUUCUGCCCUUCCCUUUAUACUGCCAGUUUAUCCACAGCUUAUGCUCACCAUCCUUUGUCACUGGCAGAAUUGCCUCUGUUCUGCUCCCUUGGUGGUGGCAUCUCAGGGCUCAGUUGACAGUUCAGCUCCCUGAGGCUCUUCUGUUCAUUAGUCUAACUCAGGCCUGUCACCAUUGCAGUUUUGCAGCAUUAUCAUGAUGGUAGGUGGCAGAAUACCUUCUGCUUUUUACAGAUACAGCUAACCACCUGGCUGUGAGUGCAGUUCCAGCAGUAGGUGCCCUCUCCCAGUUUACUAAUCUGCAUGUUUUGCCAGCCUGAUCUAGGUGGGCAUGAGUCAGCUCUGAUCCAGAAGCCAUCUGGCCAUGCACUGCUGUUCUGAGCUCAUCAGGCUGCUCUCCCAGGUUUCUUCAUUCAGGCAGAACAUUUACAGCUCUUUGGCAGUUCAGCCUUGCACCAACCAGGCAGUAGAUGGGCAAGUGUCCAUUUGCAUCCUUUGCAACAAGCCUUGUCUGCAUUUCCUUAAGUCCCUCCCUGAGGGAGAACGAGCUGUAAAGCUGUGAGUACUUUACUGACAGAGUCCAGUCCUGGGAGGGUGUGCUGUGGUGCCUGUGUCAGGACAGGUAACACUUGGCCUGAGCUGGUGUUACUCUAGCCACCUGUGCUCAUGAAAUGGAGCCUGUUUAGCCACUCACCCGCAGCAGGCUCAGCAGCAGAGACUGCAGCAGCUCACUGGUUUCAUCCUUGCUGACAUGAUGAUCCCCAACUUCCGCUCCUUGCAGGUAAGUUGCCUUAGCUGUUUGGCAUCACCCAGCUUUCUCUUGCCAAGUAGCGCAGUGUGAAGGCAACGCAGGUGAUGCACAUGCUGCUGGCACAGAUCCUCUUAUUCUCUCCCUCCAGUAGCGGUCUGUGAGUCCUGAAUGCUCUGCCUACCUAACUUUUAUCUUUAGCUCUUGGGCACUAGAAAUCCCUGAAGAGAUUCAGGCACAGCAUCAGGGAGGGCUGGAAUGAGACAGCCUUGUUUCCUAACCUACCACAGCAAAUAUCUAAGUUUUCCUUUGGAGGGAGGGCAUUCCCAAAAUGGACUGUCCAGCUUGUAUAUACUGUGGCUCUGCCCUCACCAGGGGGAAGAUUAAUUCUUGGUGCUCUCUUACCACUUACAAGUGAUAAUUACUGGAAGGUGUAAAACUGAUUAAGAGGCAAAUUGUAACCUCAGAGUGUGGAUUUCCCUGACUUCCUCUUUUUGACCUGCUAACAUACAAAGUGGCAGAUAGCUUUGUUGUUGCUUAGAUUUUAUCCCACUAUCUAACCCAGGAAUGUUUUUUACUGCACAGGGCUGAGGCCUGUGGUAAUGUAAAGUGAGUGGCCUGUAGGCCAGGGGCCAGCUCUCCCAGGCCUCUCUGGAACACCCUGCACCUCCAUCCAUGGCCUCAUCUCUUCUGCAACAGUUCAAGCCAGACACAAUGUUCUCAGACUGCAGGUAUGAGACGGGGCAGCCACAGUCAAGCUCUUCAGUCCAUCUCAGUCUCUCCAGCGAGGGUUGGGCUCUUGCAUUGACACCACAGAGCACUCCUUCCUCUGGUGUUGCUCUGUUAUGCACCCCAUGGAUCUCUGUAUCCCUGUGUUUACUCGGAUUAAGAGGGUUCUGUGCCUUGCUGCCCAUACUCUUCUGCUUAGUUUUGGCAUGGCUGGAUAGAUCAUUCCAAAUGACCGUGCUGCACCAGGCAAGCACCGAAAGGCUGUGAUGUUGACAGCGGGGCCUCUGCAGACUCAGCACAUAAAAUGGGUCACUACUGCAGUUCUUCCAGUUACGCAACUCCAGUGUGAAGGCUUUUCUUUUCCUUUGCCCUUCAAGUCACUUGAAUAUAAAGUCACUUUAAAUAUAAACAAGUAAAACUAAGACAAGAAGGUAACCAAAUCAGGAUGAGGAACCGGGAGGGGAAAGGAAAGCGUCCCACAGUACUGGUCUGGAGACUUGCAUCCUCCAGCUCCAGGGGCUGGUUCCCCAGAGCUCUGCUCCAGGAGCUGCUGCAGAAAUAAAGACCCAUUGAGCAGUCUGACUCCAAAUUAGCAUUUGAAUUCCCUUGGAGUCUGUUGUCAGAUGGGCAGGAGGUGGGUGCUAGUCUCAGACUCUGAGUACUGAUAAACAAAGGUGGCUUUAAAAGUCCUUUUUUUUUCCUCAGGGAAAUAAAUGCAUUGCACAAACUA
Molecule: long non-coding RNA, 5037 nt
Organism: Apus apus (common swift)
Lineage: Eukaryota; Metazoa; Chordata; Aves; Apodiformes; Apodidae
Exons: 2
Source: RefSeq, a predicted model, not a curated record